GACGAACGCUGGCGGCGUGCCUAAUACAUGCAAGUAGAACGCUGAAGGAGGAGCUUGCUUCUCUGGAUGAGUUGCGAACGGGUGAGUAACGCGUAGGUAACCUGCCUGGUAGCGGGGGAUAACUAUUGGAAACGAUAGCUAAUACCGCAUAAUAGUAGAUGUUGCAUGACAUUUGCUUAAAAGGUGCAAUUGCAUCACUACCAGAUGGACCUGCGUUGUAUUAGCUAGUUGGUGAGGUAACGGCUCACCAAGGCGACGAUACAUAGCCGACCUGAGAGGGUGAUCGGCCACACUGGGACUGAGACACGGCCCAGACUCCUACGGGAGGCAGCAGUAGGGAAUCUUCGGCAAUGGACGGAAGUCUGACCUAGCAACGCCGCGUGAGUGAAGAAGGUUUUCGGAUCGUAAAGCUCUGUUGUAAGAGAAGAACGAGUGUGAGAGUGGAAAGUUCACACUGUGACGGUAUCUUACCAGAAAGGGACGGCUAACUACGUG
This 495-nucleotide ribosomal RNA is filed under the name uncultured bacterium. Its description in RNAcentral is "partial 16S ribosomal RNA". It matches the Rfam family "Bacterial small subunit ribosomal RNA", at positions 28 to 507 of the family's 1533-position model. The record is from RNAcentral.